GACGAACGCUGGCGGCGUGCCUAAUACAUGCAAGUAGAACGCACAGUUUAUACCGUAGCUUGCUACACCAUAAACUGUGAGUUGCGAACGGGUGAGUAACGCGUAGGUAACCUGCCUGGUAGCGGGGGAUAACUAUUGGAAACGAUAGCUAAUACCGCAUAAUAUUGAUUAUUGCAUGAUAAUUGAUUGAAAGAUGCUAUUGCAUCACUACCAGAUGGACCUGCGUUGUAUUAGCUAGUAGGUGAGGUAACGGCUCACCUAGGCGACGAUACAUAGCCGACCUGGGAGGGUGAUCGGCCACACUGGGACUGGGACACGGCCCAGACUCCUACGGGAGGCAGCAGUAGGGAAUCUUCGGCAAUGGACGAAAGUCUGACCGAGCAACGCCGCGUGAGUGAAGAAGGUUUUCGGAUCGUAAAGCUCUGUUGUAAGAGAAGAACGGGUGUGAGAGUGGAAAGUUCACACUGUGACGGUAUCUUACCAGAAAGGGACGGCUAACUACGUG
This 505-nucleotide ribosomal RNA is filed under the name uncultured bacterium. RNAcentral's name for it is "partial 16S ribosomal RNA". It matches the Rfam family "Bacterial small subunit ribosomal RNA", at positions 28 to 507 of the family's 1533-position model. The record is from RNAcentral.